Molecule: small nuclear RNA, 108 nt
Filed under: Monopterus albus (swamp eel)
Lineage: Eukaryota; Metazoa; Chordata; Actinopteri; Synbranchiformes; Synbranchidae
Source: RNAcentral
AUGCUUACUCAGGCAGCACAUAUGACACAUUGGAAACAAUCCAGAGAAGAUUAGCAUGGCCCCUGUGAAAGGAUGACAUGCAAACUUGUGAAGCAUUUUCACAUUUUU